RNAcentral lists this ribosomal RNA (446 nucleotides) under uncultured bacterium. RNAcentral's name for it is "bacterial SSU rRNA". It matches the Rfam family "Bacterial small subunit ribosomal RNA", at positions 331 to 797 of the family's 1533-position model. The record is from RNAcentral.
CCAGACUCCUACGGGAGGCAGCAGUGGGGAAUAUUGCACAAUGGGGGAAACCCUGAUGCAGCGACGCCGCGUGAGUGAAGAAGUAUUUCGGUAUGUAAAGCUCUAUCAGCAGGGAAGAAAAUGACGGUACCUGAUUAAGAAGCCCCGGCUAACUACGUGCCAGCAGCCGCGGUAAUACGUAGGGGGCAAGCGUUAUCCGGAUUUACUGGGUGUAAAGGGAGCGUAGACGGCAGCGCAAGUCUGAAGUGAAAUGCCGGGGCUUAACCCCGGAACUGCUUUGGAAACUGUGCAGCUAGAGUGCGGGAGGGGCAGGUGGAAUUCCUGGUGUAGCGGUGAAAUGCGUAGAUAUCAGGAGGAACACCGGCGGCGAAGGCGGCCUGCUGGACCGCGACUGACGUUGAGGCUCGAAAGCGUGGGGAGCGAACAGGAUUAGAUACCCGCGUACA